This 218-nucleotide ribosomal RNA is filed under the name uncultured Gammaproteobacteria bacterium. RNAcentral describes it as "partial 16S ribosomal RNA". It matches the Rfam family "Bacterial small subunit ribosomal RNA", at positions 145 to 372 of the family's 1533-position model. The record is from RNAcentral. Lineage: Bacteria; Pseudomonadati; Pseudomonadota; Gammaproteobacteria.
AACCUGUGAAACCCAGGCUAAUACCGCAUACGUCCUACGGGAGAAAGGGGGCUCCGGCUCCCGCUAUUGGAUGAGCCUAUGUCGGAUUAGCUAGUUGGUGAGGUAAUGGCUCACCAAGGCAACGAUCCGUAGCUGGUCUGAGAGGAUGGUCAGCCACAUCGGGACUGAGACACGGUCCGAACUCCUACGGGAGGUAGCAGUGGGGAAUAUUGGACAAU